UCUCCGUAGGUGAACCUGCGGAGGGAUCAUUACAAAGUUCAUGCCCUACCGGGUAGAUCUCCCACCCUAUGUUAUUAUUACUUUGUUGCUUUGGCGGGCCGUUAGGCUCCGGCCCGACUACCGGCCCCGGCUGGUAAGCGCCCGCCAGAGGACUCAAAACCCUGAAUAUUAGUGUCGUCUGAGUACUAUAUAAUAGUUAAAACUUUCAACAACGGAUCUCUUGGUUCUG
This 229-nucleotide unclassified non-coding RNA is filed under the name plant metagenome. Its description in RNAcentral is "partial contains small subunit ribosomal RNA, internal transcribed spacer 1, and 5.8S ribosomal RNA". The record is from RNAcentral.